This 95-nucleotide non-coding RNA is filed under the name Weissella halotolerans. RNAcentral's name for it is "THF-I sequence". It matches the Rfam family "THF (Tetrahydrofolate) riboswitch aptamer". Rfam says of the family: THF riboswitch presents a pseudoknot that joins P1-P2 and the loop of P3 and two THF binding. The record is from RNAcentral. Lineage: Bacteria; Bacillati; Bacillota; Bacilli; Lactobacillales; Lactobacillaceae. RNAcentral also lists the same sequence under 1 other name.
UACAGGGUAGACUGAUAAGCGUCAAGUGUUGUAGAAACGGAAUGUGAGCUACAAACGAAGGAAUUUCCCGCGAUUUAUCAGUCACAUUCACUGUA